UAAUACCGGCAGUCCAAGUGAUGGCCGAUAUUAUUGGGCCUAAAGCGUCCGUAGCUUGCUGUGUAAGUCCAUUGGGAAAUCGACCAGCUCAACUGGUCGGCGUCCGGUGGAAACUACACAGCUUGGGGCCGAGAGACUCAACGGGUACGUCCGGGGUARGAGUGAAAUCCUGUAAUCCUGGACGGACCACCAAUGGGGAAACCACGUUGAGAGACCGGACCCGACAGUGAGGGACGAAAGCCAGGGUCUCGAACCGGAUUAGRUACCCGGGUAGUCCUGGCUGUAAACAAUGCUCGCUAGGUAUGUCACGCGCCAUGAGCACGUGAUGUGCCGUAGUGAAGACGAUAAGCGAGCCGCCUGGGAAGUACGUCCGCAAGGAUG
This 381-nucleotide ribosomal RNA is filed under the name uncultured archaeon. Its description in RNAcentral is "bacterial SSU rRNA". It matches the Rfam family "Archaeal small subunit ribosomal RNA", at positions 471 to 851 of the family's 1478-position model. The record is from RNAcentral.